AGAGUUGGGGUGAUUCUUAAGCUCGACUUUGAAAAAGCAUACGACAAAGUCAAUUGGGACUUCCUGUUGGAGUGUCAUGAACUCCGAGGUUUUGAUCCUAAAUGGUGUGGCUGGGUAAAACAAAUCCUUCAUAACGGCACGGUUAGCAUCAAGUUAAACAAUUGUGUUGGACCUUAUUUCCAAAGUGCCAAAGGGGUGCGGCAGGGGGACCCCUACUCACCCUUCCUAUUCAACUUGGUUGUGGAAUGCCUAACCAAGAUGAUUAAGAGUGCCCAGAAAAACAAUCUCAUAGUUGGGCUGGCUUCGGACUUAAUUCCUCAUGGGGUUGCGGUGCUGCAAUAUGCUGAUGACACGAUCGUAUGUCUGGAGGAUGAUAUAGAAAAAGCUACCAACCUUAAACUCCUGUUAUACAUCUUUGAGAUGAUGUCUGGUAUCAAAGUUAAUUUUCAUAAAAGUGAGAUCCUAACGGUGGGUGGGGAUGCUCAGAUCACCAAUGCCUAUGCUGAUCUCUUCAAUUGUGACAUAGGCCAGUUUCCCCUUAAAUACUUAGGUAUGCCAGUUAGUUUUACUGCUCUUAGGAAUUCUGACUGGGAGUUCAUUGUCAACAAAUAUCUUCUCAGAUUUGAUGCAUGGGUUGGUAAUGCUACCUCCAUGGGCGGGAGGCACACCUUGUUAGACUCAGUAGUCACACAACUGUCGCUUUACCACAUGUCUAUGUGGCUAAUGAACAAAACCUUUGUGGAGAAAUUGGACAAGCAUAGGAGGAGAUUCUUCUGGCAAGGGUGCCAAAAGAAACAUAGAUACCACCUUGUUAGGUGGAGUAGAGUCUGUAGAUCUAAAGAUAAGGGCGGACUUGGAGUUAAAGAUUUACACAAACAAAAUAUCAGUCUUAUGCUCAAGUGCUGGUGGAAACUAGACACCCAGAAUGGGAUCUGGCAAGAUAUUGUCAGGGCUAGAUACCUGCGUGAUCAAACUAUUGCGACUGUGAGUCCUCGUUUCUCUGAUUCACCCUGCUGGAAAAACCUGCUGAGUAUUAAGAACCUACAUAUGAUAGGCCGAAAAAUACAUGUGGGAGCCGGUAAUCUGACCAGGCUUUGGAAAGAUUCUAUCAAUGGGUUGACCCCAUUUCAGGAACAAUUUCCUCGCCUGUUUGACAUUUGUGUCGACCAGAAUUGUACUCUAGAUAAAAUGGGGUCUGUAGUUUGUUCCAGCUUC
Molecule: ribosomal RNA, 1215 nt
Filed under: Triticum aestivum (bread wheat)
Lineage: Eukaryota; Viridiplantae; Streptophyta; Magnoliopsida; Poales; Poaceae
Description: partial small subunit ribosomal RNA
Source: RNAcentral